AUUCUUAGACUGUGAGCAUUCAUGUAAUUUAAUGACGAUCAGGUAGAAAUGAGUAUAAAAUUAUUGCAUAAAAUUAACAUAAGCUUAUUUAUAGGCCUAAAUGUUAUUUAAAAUAUUAUAUAAAAAUUUUUGUUUAACAUCUCUGAAAUUGUGUAAUAAUUUUAAUUCUAGUUUCGAAUUGUUAAAUAUUUUCGAAUUGGAAAAUAUGUGGAAAACAUUGCAAGUGAACUAUGGUUAAAUGUCACAAACAGGAUAGAAAAUAAGACAUGAUGCAAAGCGUGUGGAUUGGUAACAAUUCUACAAAGUGUGAGAUCAUUCUGCUGACUUUUUCAUAGCCUCACCCUUAUUCUAUUGUGUCUCAUCUAUCAUACAACACAUUGUGAAAUAUAAUGUCUUUUCCUUUCAUUCAAUUCUUCCGGUUCUCGGAGGUUAGGUUUAAAUAGGCUUCGGGUCGUGCGUCACAUUAACUCGCUAUAUGCAGCUGUUGAGUUGUUCUCGACUCCAUCGUAAAAACUAUAUAAUUCGCGUACUUUACUACCAAUACUGUUUCCCUUGACUUCUUGCGCAACCUAUCAACCCCGAUACGAAAACUUGUUGAUCGUUAAACCAUAUAAUACAGAAGACGACAAAAGGUAUAGAAUUCCGACCGGACAAGAAGAUCCGAGUAGCUGUCAAACCAUGGUAAACCCAAGAUAUUUCAACGGGAUUGGUGGCGGUACUUAAACGAUGACGCCUUCUAUUUAUGGGAUUUUACGACCUCUUUCGGUAUCGGGGAUCGGUAAAGAAUGGUUCUCUAUUGGUCUAUCACCCUGGCUUUAAUUAUAUUAGGUUCUUUGAAAUUGGAGCUUCGACUCAGACAUUAACAAACAGAAAUAUUCUUUCAUGCUGGCGACAACCCUACAGCGUUGUUUGCCCGAAGGAAAGCAGUUUUGACUCGUGUUUCUCUCAUUGUUGAUUUGUUUAAUAUGUGUAUAGGGUUGUACGAAAUCACAUACGCAGACUUUCCGAACAAAUAAACAAGGCAUCGUGAAAGGAAUCGUCUUUGUAACUUCGGGUUAAGUAGACGUUUACUAUCCAUUUGAUAGCGAGCUUAAAACAUAUUCUUCCUUUAACCAAAGCCGCUACAAAAUGUUUUCAAUGAGUCAAGAAUUUCAUGGUAAUUGAAGACAACCAUUAAACUGAACUACCAUUCCUUACUUUAAAGCCGAGAAAACGUCGGAAUUUUCGUUUAAAUAUAUCCAUUUGUAUAUCUAUUCUAUUGGUUUAUUAAUAAAAUAUUUCAAUAUUUUUUUUUCUUUGUUACAAAUAUUGGCGUGAGUAAUAUUUUGGAGUAACAAUUAAAACUGCAUUUAC
This 1353-nucleotide long non-coding RNA is filed under the name Androctonus crassicauda. Lineage: Eukaryota; Metazoa; Arthropoda; Arachnida; Scorpiones; Buthidae. The record is from RNAcentral.